GUAAGGAAUAUUGGUCAAUGGACGCAAGUCUGAACCAGCCAUGCCGCGUGGAGGAUUAAGGCCCUCUGGGUUGUAAACUCCUUUUAUCUGGGAAGAAAUGUACUUUUUCUUGAGUACUUGACGGUACCAGAGGAAUAAGCACCGGCUAACUCCGUGCCAGCAGCCGCGGUAAUACGGAGGGUGCACGCGUUAUCCGGAUUCACUGGGUUUAAAGGGUGCGUAGGUGGGCAGGUAAGUCAGUGGUGAAAUCUCCGGGCUUAACCCGGAAACUGCCGUUGAUACUAUUUGUCUUGAAUAUUGUGGAGGUAAGCGGAAUAUGUCAUGUAGCGGUGAAAUGCUUAGAUAUGACAUAGAACACCAAUUGCGAAGGCAGCUUACUACACAAUGAUUGACGCUGAUGCACGAAAGCGUGGGGAGCGAACA
RNAcentral lists this ribosomal RNA (423 nucleotides) under uncultured bacterium. RNAcentral's name for it is "bacterial SSU rRNA". It matches the Rfam family "Bacterial small subunit ribosomal RNA", at positions 354 to 774 of the family's 1533-position model. The record is from RNAcentral.